AAUGAACGCUGGCGGCGUGCUUAACACAUGCAAGUCGAGCGAGAAAGUUCCUUCGGGAAUGAGUAAAGCGGCGGACGGGUGAGUAACGCGUGAGAAUCUGCCCUUCAGUGAAGAAUACCUCCGAGAAAUCGGAGCUAAUACUGCAUACGUCCCUCCGGGGAGAAAGGUGGCUUUAUGCUGCCGCUGAAGAAUGAGCUCGCGUACUAUUAGCUUGUUGGUGGGGUAACGGCCUACCAAGGCGAUGAUGGUUAACCGGCCUGAGAGGGUGUACGGUCACAUUGGAACUGAGACACGGUCCAG
RNAcentral lists this ribosomal RNA (300 nucleotides) under uncultured bacterium. Its description in RNAcentral is "bacterial SSU rRNA". It matches the Rfam family "Bacterial small subunit ribosomal RNA", at positions 29 to 334 of the family's 1533-position model. The record is from RNAcentral.